This 1369-nucleotide ribosomal RNA is filed under the name metagenome. RNAcentral describes it as "bacterial LSU rRNA". It matches the Rfam family "Bacterial large subunit ribosomal RNA", at positions 1537 to 2925 of the family's 2925-position model. The record is from RNAcentral.
AAAAUCCGCGAUCACAAGGGUUCGGGUCGAGACAACCGCAAGGUAGUCACCAGCCAUGUAUUCAAGAAAAGCUCCUAAAGGUUAAAGCUUAUAUGACCGUACUAAAACUGACACAGGUAGGUGAGACGAGAAGUCUAAGGCGCUCGGGAGAACUCUGGUUAAGGAACUCUGCAAAAUGACCCCGUACGUUCGCAAUAAGGGGUACUAACGCAAGUUAGUCACAGUAAAUCUGAGCAGCAACUGUUUAUCAAAAACACAGGACUCUGCAAACACGCAAGUGGAAGUAUAGAGUCUGACGCCUGCCCGGUGUUGGUAGGUUAAGGAAGAGGGUUAGCCGUAAGGCGAAGCUCGCGACCGAAGCCCCAAUAAACGGCGGCCGUAACUAUGACGGUCCUAAGGUAGCGAAGUUCCUUGUCGGGUAAGUUCCGACCUGCAUGAAUGGCGUAAUGACUGCUCUACUGUCUCAACCAGAGACCAGGUGAAAUUGUAGUCGUGGUGAAGAUGCCACGUUCCCGCAGUGUGACGGAAAGACCCCAUGAACCUUUACUGUAGGCAGAUAUUGGUCUCGAGUGUGAAUUGUGUAGGAUAGGUGGGAGGCUAUGAAGUGGUAGCGCAAGCUAUCAUGGAGCCAACGUUGAAAUACCACCCUGUUUAUGCUUAAGUUCUAACUCUGUCCCGUGAAUCCGGGCAGAGGACAGUUUCUGUUGGGCAGUUUGACUGGGGCGGUCUCCUCCGAAAGAGUAACGGAGGAGUCCAAAGGUACCCUCAGCCUGGUCGGUAAUCAGGCAUAGAGCGCAAAAGUAGAAGGGUGCUUGACUGUGAGACAAAUAAGUCGAACAGGGUCGAAAGACGGGUUUAGUGAUCCGGCGGUUUCUGUAUGGAAAGGCCGUCGCUCAUCAGAUAAAAGGUACUCUGGGGAUAACAGGCUUAUCGCUUCCGAGCGUCCAUAGCGGCGAAGCGGUUUGGCACCUCGAUGUCGGCUCAUCACAUCCUGGGGGUGGAGAAGCUCCCAAGGGUUUGCUGUUCGCCAAUGAAAGUGGUACGUGAGCUGGGUUCAGACCGUCGUGAGACAGGUCGGUCCCUAUCUGCUGUGGGCGUACGAAAUUUGAGGAGAUUCUUCUUUAGUACGAGAGGAUUUUGAAGGACGCUCCUCUGGUGUCCCAGUUGUCGCGCUAGCGGCACGGCUGGAUAGCUAUGUGCGGAACGGAUAAACGCUGAAAGCAUAUAAGCGUGAAGCCCGCUCCAAGAUUAGAUUUCGUUGAACUUUUAGUUCGAAAGUCCCCCGGAAGACUACCGGGUUAAUAGGCUGGAUGUGUACGUGUAGAAAUAUACUUAGCUAACCAGUACUAACGGACGAAUACUUGACCAU